CAUCAAGGUCUUUCCAGCAACAGCAUAAUCCUCCCCAACAUUCGUGAUCACUUGAAGGACAUUUUCGGGUCCGACAUGUUCCACAACUUCUUUGAGGACAUUAUACAGAAGGUCUGCGGAAUGGUGGAAACUCGACGAAUCAACAGACUUCAAGAACACGGUCCCGUUUGAGGACUGGACCAUAAAGUUCAGCAGUACCCUACCAUAAUCCGAGGCCCUCUCCUCCACCAUUAUAGAACAACCCAUCCUCCCCCACGUUGACUUAUGCUUAUCGAUCUCGUCGCUCACUUCCU
Molecule: long non-coding RNA, 293 nt
Filed under: Linum usitatissimum (flax)
Lineage: Eukaryota; Viridiplantae; Streptophyta; Magnoliopsida; Malpighiales; Linaceae
Description: long non-coding RNA (LUSI_LNC000877)
Source: RNAcentral